This 360-nucleotide transfer RNA is filed under the name uncultured Microcystis sp. RNAcentral's name for it is "partial 16S-23S ribosomal RNA intergenic spacer". The stretch from base 134 to 207 matches the Rfam family "tRNA". The record is from RNAcentral. Lineage: Bacteria; Bacillati; Cyanobacteriota; Cyanophyceae; Chroococcales; Microcystaceae.
AAAGGGAGACCUAAUUCAGGUAUAAGACGAAAAAAAAGUAGUCCCUACCAAGAAUCAAUCCCAAAAGGUCGGAACGAGGUAUGAGGCUUUCAAACUAGGUUCUGGGUUCAUAAAAGACCUGAAUCAGGAACAAGGGCUAUUAGCUCAGGUGGUUAGAGCGCACCCCUGAUAAGGGUGAGGUCCCUGGUUCGAGUCCAGGAUGGCCCACCUGCACAGGUGGCAAAAACAAGAGAAGCGAGGAAUCAGCACCUUAUCUUAUAUACAUAUAUAAGAGAGAAUGCUGGCCCUGAGUACAGAGUCCAGAGGAACCUUGAAAACUGCAUAGAGCUAGGUGAAAAAGCCAAAAAAGAAGACCGCAAG